UACGGGGGGGGCAAGCGUUGUUCGGAAUUACUGGGCGUAAAGGGCUCGUAGGUGGCCAACUAAGUCAGACGUGAAAUCCCCAGGCUUAACCUGGGAACUGCGUCUGAUACUGGAUGGCUUGAAUUCGGGAGAGGGAUGCAGAAUUCCAGGUGUAGCGGUGAAAUGCGUAGAUAUCUGGAGGAAUACCGGUGGCGAAGGCGGCAUCCUGGACCGGCAUUGACGCUGAGGAGCGAAAGCUAGGGGAGCAAACGGG
RNAcentral lists this ribosomal RNA (253 nucleotides) under uncultured bacterium. Its description in RNAcentral is "partial 16S ribosomal RNA". It matches the Rfam family "Bacterial small subunit ribosomal RNA", at positions 524 to 776 of the family's 1533-position model. The record is from RNAcentral.